Molecule: transfer RNA, 58 nt
Filed under: Candidatus Rokubacteria bacterium 13_1_40CM_69_96
Lineage: Bacteria; Candidatus Rokuibacteriota
Description: tRNA-Phe
Rfam family: tRNA
About the family: Transfer RNA (tRNA) molecules are approximately 80 nucleotides in length.
Source: RNAcentral
UAGCUCAGUUGGUAGAGCACAGGACUGAAAAUCCUGGUGUCGGCGGUUCAAUCCCGUC